Molecule: ribosomal RNA, 462 nt
Filed under: Enterococcus casseliflavus
Lineage: Bacteria; Bacillati; Bacillota; Bacilli; Lactobacillales; Enterococcaceae
Description: bacterial SSU rRNA
Rfam family: Bacterial small subunit ribosomal RNA
Source: RNAcentral
GACGAACGCUGGCGGCGUGCCUAAUACAUGCAAGUCGAACGCUUUUUCUUUCACCGGAGCUUGCUCCAUCGAAAGAAAAAGAGUGGCGAACGGGUGAGUAACACGUGGGUAACCUGCCCAUCAGAAGGGGAUAACACUUGGAAACAGGUGCUAAUACCGUAUAACACUAUUUUCCGCAUGGAAGAAAGUUGAAAGGCGCUUUUGCGUCACUGAUGGAUGGACCCGCGGUGCAUUAGCUAGUUGGUGAGGUAACGGCUCACCAAGGCAACGAUGCAUAGCCGACCUGAGAGGGUGAUCGGCCACACUGGGACUGAGACACGGCCCAGACUCCUACGGGAGGCAGCAGUAGGGAAUCUUCGGCAAUGGACGAAAGUCUGACCGAGCAACGCCGCGUGAGUGAAGAAGGUUUUCGGAUCGUAAAAACUCUGUUGUUAGAGAAGAAACAAAGGAUGAGAGUAAAAU